RNAcentral lists this long non-coding RNA (2000 nucleotides) under Fragaria vesca (wild strawberry). RNAcentral's name for it is "long non-coding RNA (FVES_LNC004990)". Lineage: Eukaryota; Viridiplantae; Streptophyta; Magnoliopsida; Rosales; Rosaceae. The record is from RNAcentral.
UUUAGGGAGCCACACGGCCUUGUGACACCAAUUUUGCCACUAUAUGGCGUCACCAUAUCACCAUCCAUGGUGAUGACGUCAAGACCAACACUUUUUGGUCGCGCCAUGUCCUUUUGUAGGACAUCAAUCCUUGCAGACAUAUUUGCAGCAUGUGAUCUCGUCGCUUUAACACUAUAAGCAUUUGGGAUCAAGAUGAGACUUAAUGGGGACAGACCACGACAAUUCACGUCGUUCCACUUGAACACUUGUGUUCUUAUCUCCCCCUAACGGCGGGAAUAUUGUCUCAUCAAAGUGACAAUCCGCAAUUUAGCGGUGAAUGAGAUCGCCUGACAAGGUUCCUACAUAUACGGAUUAUAGGUGGAGGUUCAUAUCCAACCUAAACUUAUUCAUCUCAAAUGACCUAUCAUUGUACACAGUGGCAAUGCGAUUUGGCACCUAGAAAUAACAUCUAGCCGAGCUCAAGGAUUGGAGAUCCGUUUCAAUCCUGCCGAGCUCAAGGAUUACAAUUUCGUGUCAAUCCUGGUACACAGUCACGAGCUGUAGUACAACAAAAUUCAAUGAUGGUGGGUCGUAGAUGAAUAGUAAAGCUGCAUACAAAUAUUGCAUAGCCCCAAGACGCAAUAGAAAGAGUGGUGCGCAUCAAUAAUGUUCGAGCGACAAACUAAAGUUGCUUGGUCGUAGCCUCGAUGAGACCGUAUUGCGUGUGAACAUGGGGUACAAGACACUUCAACUUACAUCCCGAUGAACUUCUUUAAAGAAUGGGUAGUGAGCCCGUAGAAGUAUAAGCAGCGUAAGCAGUAGAUAAUAGUGUAACACGUGACCAGUGUGCUAACACUUCAACCAACACCAUAAAGCAUAAAAGGUGUCAGCAAGUUGGUUGUAUCUAUCUACAUAAUUUUAUGUAAGAAUAGAAUGUUCACUUUUGUGUUAUUUAGCAUAGGAGGGUCUCACUCCUAAUUUAGCUAAAGAAUAGGCUUUCAAAACGAGCAAUGAGCAUUGCAGGGGGCCAAUGCGACAUCGAGGAAAGGCCGGUGCACCUCAAUUGCUUGAGGAAUUGACCGGACGACCUCUAGGAAGUUGGAAUCGUGUUCGGGUGACGUCAAUGUCCCCCGGGUCACCACCAUGCUUCAUGGUGAUACUAGAUCUCGAAUGUCUUCGUUUUGAGCGGAAGAAUGGAUGUCCAUGAGAAUUUCUCAAAAUUUGGACCAUUAUAUCUCUUCCAGGUUGACCAAUUUGGUCAAACCAAAGCCUAUAUGAGUCGGUGUCCCAAAUAUCAUGUUUGGCGACAACAUGGGAUUCGAUAUUCGAAUCGUAGUGACAUACAGUUCACUAGAUUGACUCAUGAAUUUCUCCAAGAAGCGCUUCAGUUCGCAUUCAUGAGGAGGUAUACACAAAAGAAUUCUUGUUCAUUCUCACAAUGUGUUUUCAAAUGAAAACCAUUAGCAUGAAUGUCUUUAAAGCUCAAUAACAUGGUUCCUUAGAAUGUUGUGGAUAGUUCCACUAUCUGCGAAGCACUCAAUGUCUCUAUGAGACAUAACUACAAGGAGCAGAUAGGCGAGUAAAUAGUUCUACUUGAACCAUUUAGAAGGAUUGAAAGAAGCUACGAAAAGCUGCAAUCCCGAGAGUGCAUAAAAAUUUCCGCGCAGAAUGAUCUUUGAGCACUAAAACAGCCAUAACUUCUUCCUUAAAAUAGAUAUGGACGAACCGUGAAAAGUUCUGAAAACUAGACUCAUAGAGCUUUCCAAUGAUAUAAAGCUCACUGUCUGGUUAGUCCGGAGCUGUUCACAAAGCUCAAACGAAGUUGACUGUCCAGAAGGGACAGAUUGCUGUUUUUCGCAGAUUUGGCAUGUGCGAAGCUGUGAAGCUUGCAGGUGGCGUGUAGGCUUUUGCCUUAGCCAAAAGUGACGUGUGUAUGAUCAAAACCAAGUCCUUUCGAUCGUUCUAAGGUCGUAAACUCCAUGACUAGUUAGCAAAAGCUCCCUGACAUGAACAUAAACUAA